This 299-nucleotide long non-coding RNA is filed under the name Rattus norvegicus (Norway rat). RNAcentral's name for it is "long non-coding RNA NONRATT016599". The record is from RNAcentral. Lineage: Eukaryota; Metazoa; Chordata; Mammalia; Rodentia; Muridae.
AAGGCAGACCACUGCCUACGCCUACAGAGAAGCAGUGUCUCAGGGUGACGGAGAGGCCAGCGUUAAUUGACCUGGCCCUGCUGCUGGGAGCCACUGCUGAGCUGCGGCAGGAGAGCUGUGAUGGAGAUGAGACCCACUUGCAACUCACCAACAGGAAGUGAUGAGCGACAGUCAGCUGGUGAUUCAGACUGUGGGAGGGAGAGCAGCUCGAAGCCUAUUCACAGUUUUAAGUGGUUUACACAUCUCACACAUCCACGUACUAAUCUCAUGCUAUUUUUUGCAAUAGAGAAAUUUGGGGA